RNAcentral lists this transfer RNA (66 nucleotides) under Sphaeronemoura acutispina. RNAcentral describes it as "tRNA-Gly". It matches the Rfam family "tRNA". From Rfam's summary of the family: Transfer RNA (tRNA) molecules are approximately 80 nucleotides in length. The record is from RNAcentral. Lineage: Eukaryota; Metazoa; Arthropoda; Insecta; Plecoptera; Nemouridae.
AUUUAUUUAGUAUACUAGUAUAUUUGACUUCCAAUCAAAAGGUCUAAACACAGUUUAGAAUAAAUA